UAGGGUUCACCACAUAUAUUACACGCACAUCCUCCCUCUCUGAUACCCGUUAAAUAGGUUUCUCGUCUUUUAAGGUCCUCAUGUUACUGUUUUACCAAUCAAAUUCUUUAUUCUAAUACACAUGCAAGCACAACUUAAAUAGUUACAUGUUCAAACUCACAACAAGUGUACUUGUUCGUAUAUCAAACACACUCACAAAAUCUAUUAGUAA
Molecule: long non-coding RNA, 211 nt
Filed under: Carica papaya (papaya)
Lineage: Eukaryota; Viridiplantae; Streptophyta; Magnoliopsida; Brassicales; Caricaceae
Description: long non-coding RNA (CPAP_LNC010784)
Source: RNAcentral